UUGCAAUUUCGGGCGACCACCAGGGCGAC
RNAcentral lists this small RNA (29 nucleotides) under Bombyx mori (domestic silkworm). RNAcentral describes it as "ovarian small RNA-37786". Lineage: Eukaryota; Metazoa; Arthropoda; Insecta; Lepidoptera; Bombycidae. The record is from RNAcentral.